Long non-coding RNA from Ricinus communis (castor bean), 1515 nucleotides. RefSeq lists it as uncharacterized. NCBI's taxonomy places the organism in Eukaryota, Viridiplantae, Streptophyta, Magnoliopsida, Malpighiales, Euphorbiaceae. The record is from RefSeq and is a predicted model, not a curated record. The transcript is spliced from 2 exons.
UGAGAAAUAUAUAAUUUUAAAUAUUUAUAUAUUAGCAACUUAUAUAUUUUUAGUCAAAAAUAGAGAUUUAUGCCAAAAGUAAACCACUAAGAAUAUAAAAUAAUUAAAUUACUGCUGCGAUGAUGAACAAGUGAUGGAUUUGUGAAAAUUCUAGAAUUUCAAAAUAAUGGUGAAUUAAUUUUAAUUAUUUACUGUUUCUGAUAAUUUUUUAUUUUUAACUUAGAAAUAAAAAUUAGGCUAAAAUAAAAUUAUAAUAAAAUAAUAAGAUAAUCAAGAUCAAUGUGGUAAUUAGUUUUCUGGGAUUUCUGGAAAUUUUGAGUUUUUUUAAGUGAAUUAAUUCCAAUUAUUUAUUAUUUCUAGCAUUCUUUUAUUAUUUAGCAAAAAUUAGUGAUUUGGUCAAAGUAAAAUUACUAAAAUAAUAAAAUACUAAAAAUCAAUAUGGAGAAUGAAUUUCGGUUAUUUCUGAAAUUUUUAAAACUUUAGGUGAAUUAAUUUUAAUUAUCCACUAUUUUUAGUAAUUUUUGAUAUUUAGUCUAAAAAUAGAAAUUAGGCUAAAAUAAAAUCACUAAAAAUAAUAAAAUAAUCAGAAAUAAUAUGAGGAAUGAUUUUCUGAUGGUUAUGUAAUUUAUUUGAGGCUUGGAUGAUAUUUUGAAUAUUGUCUAAAUGAUGACAAAUAAAAAGUUAAGCAAGAAUUUAACUUAAAAAAUUUUGGGUGAUGUAAUUAAAUUGAAUUAGAUAGAAUAUGAAUGAAAAUGGCUGGACUUGAUGGAUUUAGUGUUUAGAAAUGGUUGAAAUUCACUAAGUAAUUUCGGUCUAUGCUAAAAUAUUAAUGGCAAAUAGAUUUUAAUGAAAAUAGUUAGAAUUUGUGGGCUAAUUUUUGGUUUCAAUGUGUUCAUGGAUGUGUUUAUAGUGUCAAAUUGAUGUGUUAGGUACAUGUCAGAUAUUAUAAAUUGUAGCCAGAAUUAACAAUGGCUUACUCGAUCUUGUAGAUUGUAUGUAGAAUGUGAAAAUUGAUAUGGAUGUGUAUGGAAAGUGCAUGUAAUGUAUUUCUUAGCGUGAACGAUAUUUUGCACUUAAACAAUUAUAACUCUUUAAUUUACUUCGGCAAGUGGUGUCUAAAACUUCUUAAUCAACUAUCAAAUUUUAGGAAUGUGUAAAAUAUAGAUGGAAUUUUGGCAAAUUUAUGUAUGGAAUCGACAUGCUCAAAUUUAGAAAUUGUUAGGACUUUGCUUGUACUAGUAGGGUAUGUCGUCUCAGGCUCCGACUGAGAUUUUUUCUUAUAUCUCUGCUCUGGAUCCAUCAGAUGCUAUUACUGCAUUAUCGCUACUAUCGCCAUUACCACUAUAAGCACUUCUACUAACACUUCUUCACAUUCUCAGAUACUGUUUCCUACUCUUAUGCCUUUAAAAUUUUAUUUGAAAGCCAAUGACUUAUUUGUAGCUUUCUUCCUUAAAUCCCGAGUCUCUUUGUAGACCAAUUCUUUGCUCCAUUAAUAAGAAUUUGAUGCUUCACCCU